Molecule: ribosomal RNA, 1388 nt
Filed under: Salmonella enterica subsp. enterica serovar Enteritidis
Lineage: Bacteria; Pseudomonadati; Pseudomonadota; Gammaproteobacteria; Enterobacterales; Enterobacteriaceae
Description: partial 23S ribosomal RNA
Rfam family: Bacterial large subunit ribosomal RNA
Source: RNAcentral
AAUCCAUAGGUUAAUGAGGCGAACCGGGGGAACUGAAACAUCUAAGUACCCCGAGGAAAAGAAAUCAACCGAGAUUCCCCCAGUAGCGGCGAGCGAACGGGGAGGAGCCCAGAGCCUGAAUCAGCAUGUGUGUUAGUGGAAGCGUCUGGAAAGGCGCGCGAUACAGGGUGACAGCCCCGUACACAAAAGCGCAUGUGCUGUGAGCUCGAUGAGUAGGGCGGGACACGUGGUAUCCUGUCUGAAUAUGGGGGGACCAUCCUCCAAGGCUAAAUACUCCUGACUGACCGAUAGUGAACCAGUACCGUGAGGGAAAGGCGAAAAGAACCCCGGCGAGGGGAGUGAAAAAGAACCUGAAACCGUGUACGUACAAGCAGUGGGAGCACCCUUUGGGUGUGACUGCGUACCUUUUGUAUAAUGGGUCAGCGACUUAUAUUCUGUAGCAAGGUUAACCGAAUAGGGGAGCCGGAGGGAAACCGAGUCUUAAUUGGGCGUUAAGUUGCAGGGUAUAGACCCGAAACCCGGUGAUCUAGCCAUGGGCAGGUUGAAGGUUGGGUAACACUAACUGGAGGACCGAACCGACUAAUGUUGAAAAAUUAGCGGAUGACCUGUGGCUGGGGGUGAAAGGCCAAUCAAACCGGGAGAUAGCUGGUUCUCCCCGAAAGCUAUUUAGGUAGCGCCUCGUGAAUUCAUCUCCGGGGGUAGAGCACUGUUUCGGCUAGGGGGCCAUCCCGGCUUACCAACCCGAUGCAAACUGCGAAUACCGGAGAAUGUUAUCACGGGAGACACACGGCGGGUGCUAACGUCCGUCGUGAAGAGGGAAACAACCCAGACCGCCAGCUAAGGUCCCAAAGUCAUGGUUAAGUGGGAAACGAUGUGGGAAGGCCCAGACAGCCAGGAUGUUGGCUUAGAAGCAGCCAUCAUUUAAAGAAAGCGUAAUAGCUCACUGGUCGAGUCGGCCUGCGCGGAAGAUGUAACGGGGCUAAACCAUGCACCGAAGCUGCGGCAGCGACGCUUAUGCGUUGUUGGGUAGGGGAGCGUUCUGUAAGCCUGCGAAGGUGGCCUGUGAGGGUUGCUGGAGGUAUCAGAAGUGCGAAUGCUGACAUAAGUAACGAUAAAGCGGGUGAAAAGCCCGCUCGCCGGAAGACCAAGGGUUCCUGUCCAACGUUAAUCGGGGCAGGGUGAGUCGACCCCUAAGGCGAGGCCGAAAGGCGUAGUCGAUGGGAAACGGGUUAAUAUUCCCGUACUUGGUGUUACUGCGAAGGGGGGACGGAGAAGGCUAUGUUGGCCGGGCGACGGUUGUCCCGGUUUAAGCGUGUAGGUGUGUGUUCCAGGUAAAUCCGGUUCACUUUAACACUGAGGCGUGAUGACGAGGCACUACGGUGCUGAAG